RNAcentral lists this ribosomal RNA (253 nucleotides) under uncultured bacterium. RNAcentral's name for it is "partial 16S ribosomal RNA". It matches the Rfam family "Bacterial small subunit ribosomal RNA", at positions 524 to 776 of the family's 1533-position model. The record is from RNAcentral.
UACGAAGGGUGCAAGCGUUACUCGGAAUUACUGGGCGUAAAGCGCGCGUAGGCGGUUGCUUAUGUCGGAUGUGAAAGCCCUCGGCUUAACUGAGGAAGUGCAUCCGAAACUGGGCAGCUAGAGUACGAAAGAGGGUCGCGGAAUUCCCGGUGUAGAGGUGAAAUUCGUAGAUAUCGGGAGGAACACCGGUGGCGAAGGCGGCGACCUGGGUCGAGACUGACGCUGAGGCGCGAAAGCGUGGGGAGCAAACAGG